RNAcentral lists this ribosomal RNA (460 nucleotides) under uncultured bacterium. Its description in RNAcentral is "partial 16S ribosomal RNA". It matches the Rfam family "Bacterial small subunit ribosomal RNA", at positions 338 to 795 of the family's 1533-position model. The record is from RNAcentral.
CCUACGCGGGGCAGCAGUGAGGAAUAUUGGUCAAUGGGCGCGAGCCUGAACCAGCCAAGUAGCGUGAAGGAUGACUGCCCUACGGGUUGUACACUUCUUUUAUACAGGAAUAAAGUGAGGCACGUGUGCCUUUUUGUAUGUACUUUAUGAAUAAGGAUCGGCUAACUCCGUGCCAGCAGCCGCGGUAAUACGGAGGAUCCGAGCGUUGUCCGGAUUUAUUGGGUUUAAAGGGAGCGUAGAUGGGUUGUUAAGUCAGUUGUGAAAGUUUGCGGCUCAACCGUAAAAGUGCAAUUGAUACUGGCAGUCUUGAGUACAGUGGAGGUAGGCGGAAUUCGUGGUGUAGCGGUGAAAUGCUUAGAGAUCACGAAGAACUCCGAUUGCGAAGGCAGCUUACUAAACUGCCACUGACAUUGAUGCUCGAAAGUGUGGGUAUCAAACAGGAUUAGAUACCCGGGUAGUC